CUGGAAAAUGGGGAUAAUAAUAGUAUCUCCCUCAAAGCCCCCUCAGGAGAGGAUUAAAUAAGCAAAUGGUGGGAUCUGAGAACUUGGGGGGGCACCCAAGGGCUGGCUCCCCGCCAUGAGGCAGAUCAACAGCACAGAUGGCCUUGCCUCACUUCGCCGCUGCCUCCAGUUCCUGGCAGCAGCCUGCAAGGAGGCCAACAGGUGGGGCUGGGCACGAGCCCGGUGAGCGCAACCUUGGAUCUGACA
Molecule: small nucleolar RNA, 246 nt
Organism: Cervus hanglu yarkandensis (Yarkand deer)
Lineage: Eukaryota; Metazoa; Chordata; Mammalia; Artiodactyla; Cervidae
Source: Ensembl